GUGGAUCACCUGAGGUCAGGAGUUCGAGACCAGCCUGGCCAACAUGGUGAAAGUCUCUCUCUACUUAAAAAAUACAAAGUUAGCCAGGCUUGGUGGCACAUACCUGUAAUCCCAGCUAGUCGGGAGGCUGAGGCAAGAGAACUGAUUGAACCUGGGAGGCAGAGUUGCAGUGAGCCGAGAUCGGACCAUUGCACUCCAGCUUGGGCAACAAGAGCAAAACUCCAUCUCAAAAACAGAAAACAAAACAAAACAAAAAACCUAUCAAACUCCAGGAGUAUUAGGAAGAGUAAUCUGAGAUUCUGUCCCCGGUCUGAGGACCCAGGGAGCAUCUAGGAAUGGAGAAGCCAUUCUCUUUUCUGCUUCCCAAACAGGACAGGAAGUCAGUAAGUAGGAUGUGAGGACUCCUGCCCACAAUGUUCCCAUAUGAUUAGCCUAAUUCCUUAUCUUCUCUUCUAUUUUCCAGAUAAACACGAUGAACUUGAAGCUCCCUCAAUGAAAACAGACACCAGAGCCAUCUUUGUCAGCAUCUUCAGCUGCAUCUCCAUCCUUCUCCUCUUCCUCGUCGUCAUUGUCAUCUACAGAUGCAGCCAGAACGGUUCAUCACCUGAAGAAUCCACCAACAGAACCAGUCAUUCCAAACUUCCAGAACGAGAGGCUGCUGGUAAGGGAUAGGGGAAGUCAAGGGGAUAACUAGACAGAAAGACUAAGUUCUGGCCGGGCGUGGUGGC
This 728-nucleotide long non-coding RNA is filed under the name Aotus nancymaae (Ma's night monkey). RNAcentral's name for it is "lncRNA (ENSANAG00000039207.1)". Lineage: Eukaryota; Metazoa; Chordata; Mammalia; Primates; Aotidae. The record is from RNAcentral.